Pongo abelii (Sumatran orangutan) is the source of this 148-nucleotide unclassified non-coding RNA. It matches the Rfam family "Metazoan signal recognition particle RNA". Rfam says of the family: The signal recognition particle (SRP) is a universally conserved ribonucleoprotein. It is involved in the co-translational targeting of proteins to membranes. The record is from Ensembl. Lineage: Eukaryota; Metazoa; Chordata; Mammalia; Primates; Hominidae.
GCCGGGCAUGGUGGUGGGUGCCUGUAAUCCCAGCUACUUGGGAGGCUGAGGCAGGAGAAUUGCUUGAACCUGGGAGGCUGAGGUUGCAGUGAGCCAAGAUCAUGCCACUGCACUCCAGCUUGGGUGACAGAGCGAGACUCUGUCUCAC